CACAGCAUUAACAACUACACGUCACAUUUA
Molecule: non-coding RNA, 30 nt
Filed under: Homo sapiens (human)
Lineage: Eukaryota; Metazoa; Chordata; Mammalia; Primates; Hominidae
Source: RNAcentral